UGAGGAAUAUUGGUCAAUGGGCGAGAGCCUGAACCAGCCAAGUAGCGUGCAGGAUGACGGCCCUAUGGGUUGUAAACUGCUUUUAUGUGGGGAUAAAGUGCGUGACGUGUCAUGCAUUGCAGGUACCACAUGAAUAAGGACCGGCUAAUUCCGUGCCAGCAGCCGCGGUAAUACGGAAGGUCCGGGCGUUAUCCGGAUUUAUUGGGUUUAAAGGGAGCGUAGGCUGUCUAUUAAGCGUGUUGUGAAAUUUACCGGCUCAACCGGUGGCUUGCAGCGCGAACUGGUCGACUUGAGUAUGCAGGAAGUAGGCGGAAUUCAUGGUGUAGCAGUGCAAUGCUUAGAUAUCAUGACGAACUCCGAUUGCGCAGGCAGCUUACUGUAGCAUAACUGACGCUGAUGCUCGAAAGUGCGGGUAUCAAACAGG
Molecule: ribosomal RNA, 424 nt
Filed under: Fusobacteriota bacterium
Lineage: Bacteria; Fusobacteriati; Fusobacteriota
Description: Fusobacteria bacterium partial 16S ribosomal RNA
Rfam family: Bacterial small subunit ribosomal RNA
Source: RNAcentral